Molecule: long non-coding RNA, 3186 nt
Organism: Brassica rapa (field mustard)
Lineage: Eukaryota; Viridiplantae; Streptophyta; Magnoliopsida; Brassicales; Brassicaceae
Source: RefSeq, a predicted model, not a curated record
UUAUCUUAUUGUUUUAAAAAGUUAAUAUUACUAAUCAAAAUUCUUUUUUGAUUAUAUAAUUAAUAUAUAUACACAAAAUUCAUUCAGGGUAAUAUAGAUAUUAACCACUCUAACUUUCAACGUGAGAGCUUCGUUGCUAAAAAUUACUUCGCAAAUAAUAGUAUAGAUAGAAAUAAAAAGUCAAUCCAAUCACCAAUUGUUUCACGCAAUUUUAAAGUUGAAAUCCCAUAAUAAACAUAAAUCUAACGUGGUAUCAGAGCCUAAAACCUAAAUACCCUAAACUCCUAAUUAAUAUAAUUUCUCUACUUAACUUUUAAACUGGGUAUAAAAGUCAUAUUAAACUUUCUCGACCGAGUAUAAAUGUCCUAAAAUUUUAAAAUUUCUGACCGAUAAGAGUCAUCAUUUCGAUGAGAGAUAUUAUGGAUAAGUAUCUCAUAUUAGGAAUUUAGUAGGACCAUAAGUAAUCAUAUAUAUAAUGGAGGAACUUUUCUCUCUUCUAAGAACAUCCACAUCGUCAGUUUGUGGGGCCCACAUUUAAUUUGUUUGGUUUUUGUUUGGUAUUUUCUAUUUAGUUAAUGUCGUACUAGGUGUUUGGCCCGCACAUGCGAGCAUGAUCAUUUUACGAAAAUUAUAAAUUUUAAAACUAUCAUGCUAAAUUAUUUUUUUAUAUUUUUAGUCUCAAUUUUUUUUUGUUUUUUUUUUGUCUAAUUUUCAUCUUUUUGAACAUCAAGGAAUCUAAAAACUAUGAGAAAUCACCUAUCAAUCAUCUCACGCAAUGAAGUAAAUUAAAAAUAUAAACUUUCUUCUCUUUCAAUUAUUUUUACCUCUUCAAACCAGCAACAUGCAAGAAACUAUCAAAAACAAACUGAAAACACAAAACAAAAAUAAAUAAACUUUGUUUUUUGUUCAAACAAAAAUAAAUAAACUAAAAAGCCAAAUUUUAGGAUAACUUCGUAACUUAAAACAGAAGCAAAUUGAGAUAAAGACAAUAUUUCCUUAGUUUACGUGAUAAAUAUAUACAUAUAUUUAUCUUACUGUUUUAUAAAUUUAAUUUUACAGGUUUAUUUGACUGUUUUGAAUUAUUAGAAGUCUUUGUUUUAUUUAGUCUAACAUGUAAUUAUCAAGUUGCCCACAAAAUACCUGUCAAAAUAAUGUGUAAAGUGUAGUCAAUUAUACAUAGUUAAUUAUUAAAAUAACUAUUUAUAUAUUCAUUAAGGGUAAUAUAGAUAUUAAACUCUCUAACUUUUAGCGUGAAUGCUCCGUUGCAAAAAAUAAUUUCGUAAAAAAUAAUAUAGAUGGUAAUAUUAGUUUGGUUUUAUUUAUCUUUCUCUGUAUUUGGUUUAAUAUUUAGCCCAUGCAAUUUUGUUCGGUUAAUUAUUAUAUCAGCCUCGUAAAGAAUGUUUGGUUAUCUAACCAAACUCUGUUUUUGUUUUUCAGUAGGUUUUUUCGUUCUUCGACUCUUCUUCAACCUCACCGUCUCUUUAAACUUAGUCUGAAGUUUUUCUUUCAAACUCUUUACCUUCCUUAACGCUCAACGAGGUUCAACAUAUCCUACUAAAUUCCCUUAAUUAGUGUGAUUCUCAUUCAACCCAAUAACAUUUUCGACCUCUUCGUUUCCUUCCUUUUAUAUAUGAUUGGAGAGUAUUGCGAGUGUGAUGAAUCUUCACAAUCACUCUCAAUUAAUUGAUCCUUCGAAAAUGUCUUCCUCCGAUGUUGUUGCGCAAUCCGCCUUCGAUGUUCUCCGACUGGGUAGAUCUUCACAGUUCAUUGUUGCUCGCCUGCUCUGUUUUUGAACUCCAAAAACAUCAAGAAGCAUGGUGAAUUCAUGGGAGUUUUUUUAUAGCUCAUAUACAAGUCGAAACUCUUUCUCUCUCUCUCCAAAUAACAUGAUUAUGAUUGUUUAUAUGUUUUUUUAUAGCUGUAGCAUCAAGCUUUACUCUGGCUUGAAGCCUCAAUCCACAAGCUUUUUGACAAAAUGGGCAACAGAAUUUGAAUAUGAGUUAAAUCCAGAACAGGGAAAGCGAGUUGGUCACGGGUCAAGAUGAUGCCUAUAGGUACACCUACAGAAACCGAGAGGAAGACACUUGGCAAUAGCCUUCCCUAGUAUCGAGAGCGUGUGAUCUUCAAUGGACAAAACAUUGAUGAAGAGUUUAGCAACAAUAUACUAGCAACUAUGUUGUAUCUUGAUACUCUUGAUGACUCCAGGAGGAUUUAUAUGUACCUUAAUGGACCUGGCGGUGAUCUAACUCCAAGUUUAGCUAGCUAUGAUACAAUGAAGAGCUUGAAAAGUCCGGUUGGGACACAUUGUGUUGGGCUUGCCUAAAACCUUGCAGGUUUUCUUCUUGCUGCCGCUGAAAAGGUACUCUUUAUUUCACUUUCUUUUGAAUCAUGUGGAAACCAAAUUGAUCUUAUAUGCUAGCUAGACUCUGAGGAACUUGAAGUUAAAUUAUUGUUUUUUUGUGAAAGCAUCAACGGUUUGCGAUGCCAUUGUUAAGGAUCGCUCUCCAGUCACCUGGAGGCCCGGCCCUUUGCAUUCGAACCAUGCACCUGUUACCAAUUAUUGCACAGCAGAACCAAUAGACUAUAUACAACUUUUGGCAAUUUUGAUGUCCUUAAAUUGUUAACCUAAUUUGGCGCCUAGAGUACCUGCUUCCCAGCUUUAGGUCAGGGCCGGCCCGGCUGCUGGUGCAGCUCGUGGUCAGCUGGUGCAGGCUGACGAUGUUCAAAAUGAAGCAAAGGAGCUUUCAAGGAUAAGAGAUUACCUCUUCAACUAACUAGCCAAAAUACAGGACAGCCUGCGGAAAAGGAUUAGUUUUGUUGUCAUAAUAAUAAUUGACACUUCUGAGUGCAUAUGCUGAUUAUGAUGAAAUUAAUUAAACAAUGAUGAUGAUACAGAUUUUCAAAGAUUUGAGCAGAUUGAAAAGGUUCAACUCAGAAGAAGCUAUAGAGUAUGGACUUAUCAUUGUUAGACCACCGUGCAUCAAAGACGACGCUCCUCUCCAAGAUGAAUCCUCAGGUCUCGGUUAAUCUGCUUUAUUAACAUUCUGUAAUGUCAAAGUCUUACAAGCUUGGAGUUGUUGUUCUUUGUGCGAUUGUUACCAAAUAAAAUCAUCUAUGUAUAUAGAGUUAAUUAAUUAUCAUUGGACCUUGGAACUAGUUACGAGUUCAAAAGUUUUUUUUUUAUCA